CUCGUAGGCGGCUUCUUAAGUCCGUGGUGAAAACCUGUGGCUCAACCACAGGCCUGCCGCGGAAACUGUGAAGCUUGAGUCCGUGAGGGGAGAGGGGAAUUCCUGGUGUAUCGGUGAAAUGAGUUGAUAUCAGGAGGAACACCCGUGGCGAAGGCGCCUCUCUGGCACGGUACUGACGCUGAGGAACGAAAGCGUGGGGAGCAAACA
This 207-nucleotide ribosomal RNA is filed under the name uncultured bacterium. Its description in RNAcentral is "partial 16S ribosomal RNA". It matches the Rfam family "Bacterial small subunit ribosomal RNA", at positions 568 to 774 of the family's 1533-position model. The record is from RNAcentral.